UCCAUGUGUCACCAAAACAGUCCCAUUGGUGCAAACAUGAACAAGAGCACCGGAAGUAUCUUAAAAUCCAGAUUCUAGAUUUGCAAGCAACGGUAGUGCAAUGCUGAGAUUUCCAAACAAGCUUUAUAUUAUUCUUUUAACUUUAAAGUGAAUCCUUUUUCUAGCAAAAUGAGGACAAACUUUUACCAAUUUUCACAUUUUUAGAAAAAUAUUCAACUCACUUUGAUUUCUUAAGGGCUCAGCUGAAUCUAGUUUUCAAUGUCUGCAGAACAAAAUGAAAAUGAAAAUUUUAUUAUCUCAAAAUCCAUUCUAUUUUUUUUUUGUGUGACAUUAAUCAAUGAUUUCAAAAUAACCAAAAACAUACAAAUUUUAUGUUUCAUUCUUAUUAUUAUCAAUUUAUCAUCCUCAUCCUCCCUCAGCUCCUGAAAACUAUGUCGUUUUGGAAAAUGACGAAAAUACCCUUGUAUCUGUAUUGCUAUGUAAACUACUGUUGUUUCAACAAACAUAAAAUUUUGAAAAAGUAAUAAUAAGAAUAAAAUAAUUUAUUUCAUAAUCUAAAAAAAAACGAAUAAUCUAAUAGAUUGAAGGAGGACUUAAUAAUUAGAACAAGGUUAUAUAAUUAGAUAUAUUCUUUUU
RNAcentral lists this small RNA (636 nucleotides) under Arabidopsis thaliana (thale cress). Its description in RNAcentral is "ATSL131560". Lineage: Eukaryota; Viridiplantae; Streptophyta; Magnoliopsida; Brassicales; Brassicaceae. The record is from RNAcentral.